RNAcentral lists this unclassified non-coding RNA (277 nucleotides) under fungal sp. RNAcentral describes it as "partial internal transcribed spacer region". The stretch from base 1 to 46 matches the Rfam family "Eukaryotic small subunit ribosomal RNA", at positions 1786 to 1831 of the family's 1831-position model. Lineage: Eukaryota; Fungi. The record is from RNAcentral.
AAGUCGUAACAAGGUUUCCGUAGGUGAACCUGCGGAAGGAUCAUUAACGAUUGCUUACUUGGUUAGAGCUUGCUCUUUCCAUUUUAUACACCUGUGAACCGUUUUGUUUAGGUCUCCGCUGAAUCGCAAGUGAAAGCGGACUCCAACCAUUGCCUUUGUUUGUGAAAGCAGACCUGGUAGUGGCGUCUAACCCUCACCUUCUGGUGAAUGAAAUAAACAGCGUUUGGAUUUGGGAAUGCGGGAAAUACAACUUAUAACAAUGGAUCUCUAGGCUCUU